This 403-nucleotide ribosomal RNA is filed under the name uncultured bacterium. Its description in RNAcentral is "partial 16S ribosomal RNA". It matches the Rfam family "Bacterial small subunit ribosomal RNA", at positions 29 to 526 of the family's 1533-position model. The record is from RNAcentral.
AUUGAACGCUGGCGGCAGGCCUAACACAUGCAAGUCGAGCGAGCGGCGGACGGGUGAGUAAUGUAUGGGGACUGCCCGAUAGAGGGGGAUAACUACUUGAAACGGUAGCUAAUACCGCAUACUAUCGGACAACCCAUAUGGGAUGAGCUAGUAGGGGAGGUAAUGGCUCACAAAGGCAACGAUCCGUAGCUGGGUUGAGAGGACGACCAGCCAAACUGGGACUGAGACAGGGCCAAGACUCCUACGGAGGAAGCAGUGGGGAAUUUUGGACAAUGGGGGAAACCCUGAUCCAGCCAUCCCGCGUGUAGGAUGAAGGCCUUCGGGUUGGAAAGUACUUUUGGAAGAGAGGCGGUAUCUGCAGAGUAAGCACCGGCUAACUACGGGCCAGCAGCCGCGGUAAUAC